Molecule: ribosomal RNA, 419 nt
Filed under: uncultured bacterium
Lineage: Bacteria
Description: bacterial SSU rRNA
Rfam family: Bacterial small subunit ribosomal RNA
Source: RNAcentral
UGGGGAAUCUUGCGCAAUGGCCGAAAGGCUGACGCAGCGACGCCGCGUGAGGGAUGACGGCCUUCGGGUUGUAAACCUCUGUUGCCCGGGACGAACGCCCUUUUCGAAGGGUCUGACGGUACCGGGUGAGGAAGCACCGGCUAACUCUGUGCCAGCAGCCGCGGUAAUACAGAGGGUGCGAGCGUUGUCCGGAAUCACUGGGCGUAAAGGGCGCGUAGGCGGUGACUUAAGCGUGUGGUGAAAGCUCGGGGCUCAACCCCGAGUCGGCCGUGCGAACUGGGUCACUGGAGCAUGUCAGAGGCAGGCGGAAUUCCGGGUGUAGCGGUGGAAUGCGUAGAGAUCCGGAAGAACACCGGUGGCGAAGGCGGCCUGCUGGGACAUGGCUGACGCUGAGGCGCGACAGCGUGGGGAGCAAACAG